This 1994-nucleotide long non-coding RNA is filed under the name Brachypodium distachyon (stiff brome). RNAcentral describes it as "long non-coding RNA (BDIS_LNC005830)". Lineage: Eukaryota; Viridiplantae; Streptophyta; Magnoliopsida; Poales; Poaceae. The record is from RNAcentral.
AGCGGUUCAAAAAAUAAAUUCUAGAGGACUGAUACUGCGCACUUGAGCACUACCAAAAGGUGAUUGGAAAAACGAAAGGAACAAUCACUAAGAAAAAGGGAACAAAGAGCACUAAAAAAAGGGUGACUGGACAGGGCCGGGUCAGCUGUCUUCGAAAGUCUCGUGACGCCGGCGGCAGGUCCUCUCGCUUUUCAGCGGUCGGGCUGUAGGAAAUCUCAUCUUCAACAGUCACCGGCAAAAUAGACGUGUCGUCCGUCCAGAUAGCAGGUAUUCGGAUGAUUUGGCAAAUGUUCACCACUAUUUUCGAUGGAUACAUGCUAAAUGUCCACACAUAUAUAUUUCUCAAUUAAUACUAUUAUUACACAACUAUGUAUUCAACAAUAUCAAUUCAAAAAUAAAUAGUAGAGUGCAAAUUAAUUGAAAUGACAUCGUCCAAAUAUGUCAGAAUGAAACUUUGACGAGAAAUGGAAAGAGUUAGUUUUCCUUUCAUUAUUUAAAAUGAAAUGUACCGAUCAUGCCAAAGUUCAUUAUUUAAAAGUACGAUUAUAACCAAAUAAAAACAACCUUGUAAUGUAGUAGAAAACAGAGGAAUUGAUGAGCCGUCCUUCAACUGCCGGUGCAUGACAAGUAUGAGCCAGUUUUAAAACCCACUGCCUGAACAAGACUCAUCUGAAGUUAAAAAAAAACUGAUUUAAAUGAUUUUACCUGAUUUCAAAGAAUAAAACUAAAAAAAUAUUGUUCAGCCCAAAUAGGGACAUGAUUUUGUACGUCCAAAGUAGUACAUGUCAGAUAUUUGAGCGGAGCAUCAUAAGAAAGAAAAUAAUGAGAAGAAAAUCCACGCUGCACGUCAUAUAUACCUGCACUGAUUCUUUUUUGAGGGAAUACAUGCACUGAUUCUUGAUUGAUUUGUUCUGUGUAGACAUACAUGAGCUAACAUCAAGUCACGGCGACUCAACCAGAUCAUGAUUCAAUGUUCUGUGUAGACAUACAUGCACUGAUUCAAUGUUGAUGCUACCUUUCAUGAGGAUACUGGUACUGGGGGCGACAGGUGCUGUUCUUCAUCUCAUGACGUCUUCUCGGCGGGCAGCUGUUUUGGUAUCUCUAACAUUGCCGAUGCUUCGUCUGCCGAAGCUCGUGCUCUAUGGGAUGGUCUUCUCCUGGCCAGCGAGGUGGGGUGCGACAAAUUGGUUGUUGAUUGCAUGGAAGUGGUGGAGACAAUGCAAUCUGAGGGUAAUUCUAUUUGCCAGGCUGCGGCGAUGAAGAAUGUGCUUUUCUGGCUCGGAAUUUUACCAAUGUCAUUUUAUGUUUUUCUCCUAGAGCGAGUAAUUCAUUGUUUGGCAUGAGGAUCUGUCCCAUUUUUUUAGCAACCUUUUUGAUUAAUGAUGUACUCCCUCGGUCCCAUAAUUCUUGUCAAAAUAUUAGAUGCUUUUUAGAAAUAGAUGCAUUCAUUUUUGGGCAAAUUUGGGACAAAAAUUAUGGACGGAGGGAGUAUCUUUUUAAUCCAAUCAAUAAAUUUGUCAUUGUUGGAAAUAUGAGCAAUUUACCAUGAUAUUUAAUCCAUAAAAAUAGUAGAUAAAUCAUGACGGCAAGAACACAUAUUAAACUAGUCAUGCAAACUAGUUGAGAAUAUGAACAAAAUAUCGAAGAUUGAAGGAGCAAAUCUAAACCAUUUGCUUGAACAAGAAACUGUAGCAAAAUCUCGAAUAGAAUAAACAGAAACACGUACGAUGCCGAUCCGUUUGCGAUAACAAGUUGCCAACAUCAGCCAUGUCGUCGAGUAGGUUGGUGACGUUAGGGAAGUAGUCGUCGUCGGGAAAGUGAUCGUCGGAGUCCGUGGUGAAGAAGAAGCAGUAGUCGCGCUAGAGCGCUCCCAAAAAACCUUAUCAUCCAUCUUCCGUACAGAACUUGAAGAGACGGGGUUUCGGGGGUUUACUGUUCCGUGGCAGUCGCAUAAAGUGUGGCGUAUCUUGUGUGUCUCUCGACGGAGGAGCGAC